Homo sapiens (human) is the source of this 1771-nucleotide long non-coding RNA. RefSeq lists it as uncharacterized. The record is from RefSeq and is a predicted model, not a curated record. The transcript has 2 exons. NCBI's taxonomy places the organism in Eukaryota, Metazoa, Chordata, Mammalia, Primates, Hominidae.
CCUGAAGAGGGGAACAGGGAUAAGGGGAGGUGAACGGUCUCGGGCCCGAGCCCUCCUCCUUGCUUUGGGGUUCCGUGUCAACUCUGCCUGUGGGUCUUUGGCCUGUUUCCCUCCAGGCCCUCUGUCAGUUCCCAGGUCUGUCCAGCGGUCCCUCCGACAGCUUAGAGUCCAGCGACUUUGAGCAAAGUUGGGAAUCGCGGCAGGAAGGAAAGGCCGGAGCGGAUUCUGGGAAGGAGCGCAACACCGGGCGGAGAGCGCCCCCACCCCAACCCUACCCCUUCCCUCCGGAAACUGCCUUCGCCCCAGGAACCAGAGACAGACCACUUCACCCACAAAUCUUUAUUGUGCCCCCAAGCCCACACCUAUACGAGGGCCAGGGGAAGGUAAGGGGUUUGGUGCUUUAAACUAUCCUUGGAAGAGGGCUCACGAAGUUGGGGGCAUGGCAGGAGCAAAUGAGAGAUCUUCGGGAUCUCCAACUCUGGACCAAGGAGACCGUAGCCUUUUCCCCUCAGCGUCAUGGGCGCCGUGGAAAUUACCAUCAACUCAGCCGUUUGAUCCCAGGGCUCCAGCAUCAACAGAGAGGCUGGAGGGCACAAGCAGGAGCAACACAUGCCCCUAUUCAGGGCUGUGGGGGGCUCUCGGGUAGUCCUAGGGACUGGACAGAAUGGGGCUGGGGGAGAGAUGGGGAAAGUGCACACCCAGCCCGAAGCACAGCUCCAGGGGGGUCACUGCCUCCCCCACUAGUCACUACGCUGUGUUCCUGCCCAAGGCAGCACCCACACUUGCAUUUGGCUGAGAGCCUCUCCCUUCCUGCUUUCUCUGGUGUUGUGAGAAGUCAGGGACCCUGACUGGAGGGACCGGCUGGAGCCGAGGCAGAAGAACAUAAAUUGUGAAGAUUUCAUGGACAUUUAUCAGUUCCCCAAAUUAAUACUUUUAUAAUUUCUUAUGCCUGUCUUUAUUGCAAUCUCUGAACAUAAAUUGUGAAGAUUUCAUGGACAUUUAUUAUUUCCCCAAUAAUACUCUUAUAAUUUCUUAUGCCUGUCUUUAAUCUCUUAAUCCUGUUAUCUUCAUAAGCCGAGAAUAUACAUCACCUCAGGACCACUAUUGUACAAAUUGAUUGUAGAACUUGUGUGUUUGAACAAUAUGAAAUCUGAUUGUAAAAUAUGUGUGUUCGAACAAUAUGAAAUCAGUGCACCCUGAAAAAGAACAGAAUAUCAGCAAUUUUCAGGGAACAAGGGAAGAUAACCAUAAGGUCUGACUGCCUGCAGGGUCGGGCAGAAUAGAGCCAUAUUUUUCUUCUUUCAGGGAGCCUAUAAAUGGAUGUGCGAGUAGGAGAAAUAUCGCUGAAUUAUUUUCCCAGCAAGGAAUAUUAAUAAUUGAUACCCUAGGGAAGGAAUGCAUUCCUGGGGGAAGGUCUAUAGACGGCCACUCUGGGAGUUUGUGUCUUAUGUGGUUGAGAUAAGGACUGAAAUAUGCCCUGGUCUCCUGCAGUACCCUCAGGCUUACUAGGAUUGGGAAAUUCCAGCCUGGUAAAUUCUAGUCAGACCGGUUGUCUGCUCUCAAACCUUGUUUCCUGUUAAGAUGUUUAUCAAGACAAUCUGUGUACAAUGGGACAUAGACCCUCAUCAGUAAUUCUAAUUUUGCCUUUGCCUUGUGAUCUUUAUUGUUCUUUGAAGUAUGUGAUCCUUGUGACCUACUCCCUGUUUGUACACCCCCUCCCCUUUUAAAAUCCCUAAUAAAAACUUGCUGGUUUUGUGGCUUGGGGUCACCA